Molecule: ribosomal RNA, 429 nt
Filed under: Actinomycetes bacterium
Lineage: Bacteria; Bacillati; Actinomycetota; Actinomycetes
Description: Actinobacteria bacterium partial 16S ribosomal RNA
Rfam family: Bacterial small subunit ribosomal RNA
Source: RNAcentral
UAGGGAAUCUUCCGCAAUGGGCGAAAGCUUGACGGAGCAACGCCGCGUGAGUGAUGAAGGUCUUCGGAUCGUAAAACUCUGUUAUUAGGGAAGAACAAAUGUGUAAGUAACUAUGCACGUCUUGACGGUACCUAAUCAGAAAGCCACGGCUAACUCCGUGCCAGCAGCCGCGGUAAUACGUAGGUGGCAAGCGUUAUCCGGAAUUAUUGGGCGUAAAGCGCGCGCGGGCGGUUUUUUAAGUCUGAUGUGAAAGCCCACGGCUCACCCGUGGAGGGUCAUUGGAAGCUGGAAAACUUGAGUGCAGAAGAGGAAAGUGGAAAUCAAUGUGUAGCGGUGAAAUGCGCAGAGAUAUGGAGGAACACCAGUGGCGAAGGCGACAGUCUGAUCAGUAACUGACGCUAAUGUGCGAAAGCGUGGGGAUCAAACAGG